RNAcentral lists this ribosomal RNA (3006 nucleotides) under Salmonella enterica. RNAcentral's name for it is "bacterial LSU rRNA". It matches the Rfam family "Bacterial large subunit ribosomal RNA". Lineage: Bacteria; Pseudomonadati; Pseudomonadota; Gammaproteobacteria; Enterobacterales; Enterobacteriaceae. The record is from RNAcentral.
UUAAGCGACUAAGCGUACACGGUGGAUGCCCUGGCAGUCAGAGGCGAUGAAGGGCGUGCUAAUCUGCGAUAAGCGCCGGUAAGGUGAUAUGAACCGUUAUAACCGGCGAUACCCGAAUGGGGAAACCCAGUGUGACUCGUCACACUAUCAUUAACUGAAUCCAUAGGUUAAUGAGGCGAACCGGGGGAACUGAAACAUCUAAGUACCCCGAGGAAAAGAAAUCAACCGAGAUUCCCCCAGUAGCGGCGAGCGAACGGGGAGGAGCCCAGAGCCUGAAUCAGCAUGUGUGUUAGUGGAAGCGUCUGGAAAGGCGCGCGAUACAGGGUGACAGCCCCGUACACAAAAGCGCAUGUGCUGUGAGCUCGAUGAGUAGGGCGGGACACGUGGUAUCCUGUCUGAAUAUGGGGGGACCAUCCUCCAAGGCUAAAUACUCCUGACUGACCGAUAGUGAACCAGUACCGUGAGGGAAAGGCGAAAAGAACCCCGGCGAGGGGAGUGAAAAAGAACCUGAAACCGUGUACGUACAAGCAGUGGGAGCCCCACCACUAAGCCAGUGGUGAACUCCACAUACGCAUCCUUUGCUGAAGGCAAUGGUUAACGGAGCGAAAGCGACGUUCAACCGCAAAACAAGCAGAGGGGGCUUAGUGGUGGGGUGACUGCGUACCUUUUGUAUAAUGGGUCAGCGACUUAUAUUCUGUAGCAAGGUUAACCGUAUAGGGGAGCCGGAGGGAAACCGAGUCUUAAUUGGGCGUUAAGUUGCAGGGUAUAGACCCGAAACCCGGUGAUCUAGCCAUGGGCAGGUUGAAGGUUGGGUAACACUAACUGGAGGACCGAACCGACUAAUGUUGAAAAAUUAGCGGAUGACCUGUGGCUGGGGGUGAAAGGCCAAUCAAACCGGGAGAUAGCUGGUUCUCCCCGAAAGCUAUUUAGGUAGCGCCUCGUGAAUUCAUCUCCGGGGGUAGAGCACUGUUUCGGCUAGGGGGCCAUCCCGGCUUACCAACCCGAUGCAAACUGCGAAUACCGGAGAAUGUUAUCACGGGAGACACACGGCGGGUGCUAACGUCCGUCGUGAAGAGGGAAACAACCCAGACCGCCAGCUAAGGUCCCAAAGUCAUGGUUAAGUGGGAAACGAUGUGGGAAGGCCCAGACAGCCAGGAUGUUGGCUUAGAAGCAGCCAUCAUUUAAAGAAAGCGUAAUAGCUCACUGGUCGAGUCGGCCUGCGCGGAAGAUGUAACGGGGCUAAACCAUGCACCGAAGCUGCGGCAGCGACACUCAGGUGUUGUUGGGUAGGGGAGCGUUCUGUAAGCCUGUGAAGGUGUGUCGUGAGGCAUGCUGGAGGUAUCAGAAGUGCGAAUGCUGACAUAAGUAACGAUAAAGCGGGUGAAAAGCCCGCUCGCCGGAAGACCAAGGGUUCCUGUCCAACGUUAAUCGGGGCAGGGUGAGUCGACCCCUAAGGCGAGGCCGAAAGGCGUAGUCGAUGGGAAACGGGUUAAUAUUCCCGUACUUGGUGUUACUGCGAAGGGGGGACGGAGAAGGCUAUGUUGGCCGGGCGACGGUUGUCCCGGUUUAAGCGUGUAGGUGUGUGUUCCAGGUAAAUCCGGUUCACUUUAACACUGAGGCGUGAUGACGAGGCACUACGGUGCUGAAGCAACAAAUGCCCUGCUUCCAGGAAAAGCCUCUAAGCAUCAGGUAACAUCAAAUCGUACCCCAAACCGACACAGGUGGUCAGGUAGAGAAUACCAAGGCGCUUGAGAGAACUCGGGUGAAGGAACUAGGCAAAAUGGUGCCGUAACUUCGGGAGAAGGCACGCUGACACGUAGGUGAAGUGAUUUACUCAUGGAGCUGAAGUCAGUCGAAGAUACCAGCUGGCUGCAACUGUUUAUUAAAAACACAGCACUGUGCAAACACGAAAGUGGACGUAUACGGUGUGACGCCUGCCCGGUGCCGGAAGGUUAAUUGAUGGGGUCAGCGCAAGCGAAGCUCCUGAUCGAAGCCCCGGUAAACGGCGGCCGUAACUAUAACGGUCCUAAGGUAGCGAAAUUCCUUGUCGGGUAAGUUCCGACCUGCACGAAUGGCGUAAUGAUGGCCAGGCUGUCUCCACCCGAGACUCAGUGAAAUUGAACUCGCUGUGAAGAUGCAGUGUACCCGCGGCAAGACGGAAAGACCCCGUGAACCUUUACUAUAGCUUGACACUGAACAUUGAGCCUUGAUGUGUAGGAUAGGUGGGAGGCUUUGAAGCGUGGACGCCAGUCUGCGUGGAGCCGACCUUGAAAUACCACCCUUUAAUGUUUGAUGUUCUAACGUGGACCCGUAAUCCGGGUUGCGGACAGUGUCUGGUGGGUAGUUUGACUGGGGCGGUCUCCUCCUAAAGAGUAACGGAGGAGCACGAAGGUUGGCUAAUCCUGGUCGGACAUCAGGAGGUUAGUGCAAUGGCAUAAGCCAGCUUGACUGCGAGCGUGACGGCGCGAGCAGGUGCGAAAGCAGGUCAUAGUGAUCCGGUGGUUCUGAAUGGAAGGGCCAUCGCUCAACGGAUAAAAGGUACUCCGGGGAUAACAGGCUGAUACCGCCCAAGAGUUCAUAUCGACGGCGGUGUUUGGCACCUCGAUGUCGGCUCAUCACAUCCUGGGGCUGAAGUAGGUCCCAAGGGUAUGGCUGUUCGCCAUUUAAAGUGGUACGCGAGCUGGGUUUAGAACGUCGUGAGACAGUUCGGUCCCUAUCUGCCGUGGGCGCUGGAGAACUGAGGGGGGCUGCUCCUAGUACGAGAGGACCGGAGUGGACGCAUCACUGGUGUUCGGGUUGUCAUGCCAAUGGCACUGCCCGGUAGCUAAAUGCGGAAGAGAUAAGUGCUGAAAGCAUCUAAGCACGAAACUUGCCCCGAGAUGAGUUCUCCCUGAGACUUAGAGUCUCCUGAAGGAACGUUGAAGACGACGACGUUGAUAGGCCGGGUGUGUAAGCGCAGCGAUGCGUUGAGCUAACCGGUACUAAUGAACCGUGAGGCUUAACCUU